This 215-nucleotide unclassified non-coding RNA is filed under the name soil metagenome. RNAcentral describes it as "partial contains 5.8S ribosomal RNA, internal transcribed spacer 2, and large subunit ribosomal RNA". The record is from RNAcentral.
AACCAUAGAAACCUGCGGAGUACCUGCGGAAGGAUCAUUACAAGUGACCCCGGUCUAACCACCGGGAUGUUCAUAACCCUUUGUUGUCCGACUCUGUUGCCUCCGGGGCGACCCUGCCUUCGGGCGGGGGCUCCGGGUGGACACUUCAAACUCUUGCGUAACUUUGCAGUCUGAGUAAACUUAAUUAAUAAAUUAAAACUUUCAGCAAUGGAUCU